CGCGUAGGUGGUUGUGUAAGUCAGAUGUGAAAUCCCGAGGCUCAACUUCGGAACUGCAUCUGAAACUGCAUGACUCGAGUACAGCAGAGGGAAACGGAAUUCCUGGUGUAGAGGUGAAAUUCGUAGAUAUCAGGAGGAACACCGGUGGCGAAGGCGGUUUCCUGGGCUGAUACUGACACUGAGGCGCGAAAGCGUGGGGAGCAAACAG
This 208-nucleotide ribosomal RNA is filed under the name uncultured bacterium. Its description in RNAcentral is "partial 16S ribosomal RNA". It matches the Rfam family "Bacterial small subunit ribosomal RNA", at positions 568 to 775 of the family's 1533-position model. The record is from RNAcentral.